UAGGGAAUCUUCGGCAAUGGGGGGAACCCUGACCGAGCAACGCCGCGUGAGUGAAGAAGGUUUUCGGAUCGUAAAGCUCUGUUGUUAAGGAAGAACGAGUGUGAGAAUGGAAAGUUCAUGCUGUGACGGUACUUAACCAGAAAGGGACGGCUAACUACGUGCCAGCAGCCGCGGUAAUACGUAGGUCCCGAGCGUUGUCCGGAUUUAUUGGGCGUAAAGCGAGCGCAGGCGGUUAGAAAAGUCUGAAGUGAAAGGCAGUGGCUCAACCAUUGUAGGCUUUGGAAACUGUUUAACUUGAGUGCAGAAGGGGAGAGUGGAAUUCCAUGUGUAGCGGUGAAAUGCGUAGAUAUAUGGAGGAACACCGGUGGCGAAAGCGGCUCUCUGGCUUGUAACUGACGCUGAGGCUCGAAAGCGUGGGGAGCAAACAGGAUUAGAUACCCUGGUAGUCCACGCUGUAAACGAUGAGUGCUAGGUGUUAGACCCUUUCCGGGGUUUAGUGCCGUAGCUAACGCAUUAAGCACUCCGCCUGGGGAGUACGACCGCAAGGUUG
RNAcentral lists this ribosomal RNA (550 nucleotides) under uncultured bacterium. Its description in RNAcentral is "bacterial SSU rRNA". It matches the Rfam family "Bacterial small subunit ribosomal RNA", at positions 355 to 896 of the family's 1533-position model. The record is from RNAcentral.